Vollenhovia emeryi is the source of this 270-nucleotide long non-coding RNA. RefSeq lists it as uncharacterized. The transcript has 2 exons. The record is from RefSeq and is a predicted model, not a curated record. Lineage: Eukaryota; Metazoa; Arthropoda; Insecta; Hymenoptera; Formicidae.
UCCGGCAGUUCUGUUGAGAGUUCCUGGUAGCCCCCGCAGAGUUCUAUCGAAAAUCCUAAUGACAAAAGUCUGUGUGAUUAAUACUUUUAUAGUUAUGCCUAUUUCUGGGGUACUGUUUCUUGAUUCUUCAACUUCGUUUUUUUUACUUUCUCGUGCAAAACUAUUGUUAAAAUGUAUCAAGAACUCUAGAACUAUGCGAAAUCUAUCCAGAACUCCAUUAAAAAAUUAGUUUUUACGAAAAUGGGGGCUGCGUGAAGUUAGUCCCCCAUU